CAUUCUCACUAAAAUGAUGGGCUGAAUAGGCAAAGGAACCCAAUAUCCAAACCCUCAAAUCUUAAUCAUCCAAACAUCCACAAAAUAAACAAAACUCAAUUGGAUCUUCUUGAUUUUAAUUUUGGCGGCUGAGAAACAGCCAACAAUCAAGGAACAUAAGAUUUGAGAAAAGAAAAGCACCUAGAAAUGUUGCAUCCCCAAAAUCUUUUUGAAGUAAUCUAAUUUUUGCCGGCAUAAAAAACUAUAACAACAUGUCUGUUGCUUGGAGAUUUCAGAAUUUGGGUUUUACUUUCAGAAGUGUGGAGAAAUUUCUAGGGACUUCGCUUGCAGAUGCUAAUCUAUUAAGUAGCAAAAGAUGGCAAUUGUUAAACAGAGGAAGAAACGUCUUGUUCUUUAAAAGGCAGGAAAGAUUUGUGCACACACAUUUCCAGAUGUCAGUCCCUGGAACAUCACCUGUAAGCAAAGAAAAUAGGAUUCCGGACUAUUUGAGGGAUAAGAAAUUGGUUCCUGAUGCAUCUCCUCCUAGCAGUAAGGACAUUGACCUUUUGUAUCAGUUCUUUGAUCAGAGUGAAAAGCUGGUGGUAUUGACUGGAGCAGGAAUGAGCACCGAGUGUGGAAUCCCAGAUUAUAGAAGCCCAAAUGGAGCAUAUAGUUCUGGUUUCAAACCCAUUACCCACCAGGAGUUUGUCAGCUCAGGCAAGGCUCGCAAGCGUUAUUGGGCUAGGAGCUACGCUGGUUGGAGACGAUUUACUUCAGCACAGCCAGGGGCUGGCUAUUUUGCUUUAGCAUCCCUAGAAAAGGCUGGCAGGAUAAGCUUUAUGAUCACACAAAAUGUUGACAGGCUGCAUCAUCGAGCUGGCAGCAAUCCUCUCGAAUUACAUGGCACUGUAUACACUGUGGGUUGUCUUGAAUGUGGAUAUUCAUUUUGUCGGCACUCAUUUCAGGACCAACUAAAGGCUCUCAAUCCUAAGUGGGCGGAAGCAAUUGAUAGUUUGACUUUUGACAGCCCUGGGUCAGACAAAAGUUUUGGCAUGAGGAUCCGGCCUGAUGGUGAUAUUGACAUUGAUGAGAAAUUCUGGGAAGAAGAUUUUCACAUUCCUACUUGCCCUGAAUGUGAUGGAGUGCUGAAACCUGAUGUUAUCUUCUUUGGAGACAAUGUUCCCAAGGAUCGAGCUGAUAGAGCAAUGGAAGCAGCCAAAAGUUGUGAUGCAUUUUUGGUUAUCGGUUCAUCUGUAAUGACGUUUUCUGCCUUCAGAUUGGUGAGGGCGGCUCAUGAGGCAGGUGCAGCUACAGCAAUGAUAAAUAUUGGUUCCACCAGAGCUGAUAAUAUUGUGUCCUUGAAGAUUGGUGCUCGGUGUGCGGAGAUACUUCCGAGAUUGCUGCAUACUGGAUCUCUGUGUGUCCCGGCUGUUCAAUCAUGAUCCUCAUUGGCCUUCGUAGUAAGAUUUUGUCUCUAAUCUUCUGCAAACAGGUGUAAUAUAGACCUUGAUAACAUGAAAUAGUUGCUUAUUGAGGGAAUACUUGUCAAGUUUCCACAGUAAUGAGUUAUAUUUUCCAAUGAGACAAGCUAAGUUUGUUUUGUGACACAUAAUGUUGAUGUAUGUGAUAAACAAACAUGGUUUAUUAUAUCAUGUUUGUGGUAAAUAUUUAGUUUUAGGAGUAAAGGACUUGAUUUAGUGAACUUUACUGUAAGUAUGAUUCGUGAAAUUUGCUAAGAAUCGAGAAAGGGACAUAAUUUAUAUUUGAAGGCAAGAUUUCUAUCA
This is an RNA transcript of Beta vulgaris subsp. vulgaris (sugar beet), 1763 nucleotides long. It is a transcript of the gene named NAD-dependent protein deacylase SRT2, with no coding region annotated. The transcript is spliced from 12 exons. NCBI's taxonomy places the organism in Eukaryota, Viridiplantae, Streptophyta, Magnoliopsida, Caryophyllales, Amaranthaceae. The record is from RefSeq and is a predicted model, not a curated record.